RNAcentral lists this long non-coding RNA (349 nucleotides) under Helianthus annuus (common sunflower). RNAcentral's name for it is "hypothetical non coding rna". Lineage: Eukaryota; Viridiplantae; Streptophyta; Magnoliopsida; Asterales; Asteraceae. The record is from RNAcentral.
AUGAGGUAUGAUAUUACAAUAAUCCCUUUGCAGGUUGCACGGGUCAUUGGAAGAGAUUGCAGGUCAUGCUUUAAUAAAUUGCUCUUUUGCCAACUUGUUUUUUAUUGACUCUUUGGAACAUUUGGCAAAUGCGGCGCAAAAGUCUCAACAACAAGAACGGUGAUGUCAUGGAGCGAAUGGAGACACUUUGAACGUAAUCUUUAAAGUUUGAUGUAUUGCUGUUUGUUUUUAUUUUUGUAUUCUGUACUUGAAUGUGUUGUGGGUAUCCUUAGCAUCUCAAUAUGGUGCCUUCAACGGUGGGUUUAAUAAAGUGUUAUGUAUUGUCAUUAAAAGAAAUUAUGUGUGGUUU